Molecule: ribosomal RNA, 468 nt
Filed under: uncultured bacterium
Lineage: Bacteria
Description: partial 16S ribosomal RNA
Rfam family: Bacterial small subunit ribosomal RNA
Source: RNAcentral
GACGAACGCUGGCGGCGUGCUUAACACAUGCAAGUCGAACGGUGAUGCUCCAGCUUGCUGGAGUGGAUCAGUGGCGAACGGGUGAGUAACACGUGAGCAACCUGCCCCAGACUCUGGAAUAAGCGCUGGAAACGGCGUCUAAUACUGGAUACGAAACUGGCCCGCAUGGGCAUGGUUUGGAAAGUUUUUCGGUUUGGGAUGGGCUCGCGGCCUAUCAGCUUGUUGGUGAGGUAAUGGCUCACCAAGGCGACGACGGGUAGCCGGCCUGAGAGGGCGACCGGCCACACUGGGACUGAGACACGGCCCAGACUCCUACGGGAGGCAGCAGUGGGGAAUAUUGCACAAUGGGCGAAAGCCUGAUGCAGCGACGCCGCGUGAGGGAUGACGGCCUUCGGGUUGUAAACCUCUUUCAGCAGAGAAGAAGCGAAAGUGACGGUAACUGCAGAAGAAGCACCGGCUAACUACGUG